Molecule: ribosomal RNA, 483 nt
Filed under: Streptococcus sp. oral taxon 070
Lineage: Bacteria; Bacillati; Bacillota; Bacilli; Lactobacillales; Streptococcaceae
Description: bacterial SSU rRNA
Rfam family: Bacterial small subunit ribosomal RNA
Source: RNAcentral
GACGAACGCUGCGGCGUGCCUAAUACAUGCAAGUAGAACGCUGAAGCUUGGUGCUUGCACCGAGCGGAUGAGUUGCGAACGGGUGAGUAACGCGUAGGUAACCUGCCUGGUAGCGGGGGAUAACUAUUGGAAACGAUAGCUAAUACCGCAUAAAAUGGAUUAUCGCAUGAUAAUUCAUUGAAAGGUGCAAAUGCAUCACUACCAGAUGGACCUGCGUUGUAUUAGCUAGUUGGUGGGGUAACGGCUCACCAAGGCGACGAUACAUAGCCGACCUGAGAGGGUGAUCGGCCACACUGGGACUGAGACACGGCCCAGACUCCUACGGGAGGCAGCAGUAGGGAAUCUUCGGCAAUGGACGGAAGUCUGACCGAGCAACGCCGCGUGAGUGAAGAAGGUUUUCGGAUCGUAAAGCUCUGUUGUAAGAGAAGAACGAGUGUGAGAGUGGAAAGUUCACACUGUGACGGUAUCUUACCAGAAAGGGAC